AAACAACACACAGAUUACUUCACCGGAAAGAAAAAACGAGGGCAAUUGUUCAUUUCCUAGCAAAUAAAAACCUCUAACUGAAAUCUUAUCCAUCACAUCUAUGUUCAUGAAAAUGCUUCAAGUUUCUCAGCUAUCAGCAUAUUCUUCAAAUUUCUUAAUUAUGGGUCAACCAGACAUACACU
Ceratotherium simum simum (southern white rhinoceros) is the source of this 182-nucleotide non-coding RNA. Lineage: Eukaryota; Metazoa; Chordata; Mammalia; Perissodactyla; Rhinocerotidae. The record is from RefSeq and is a predicted model, not a curated record.